GCGGUAAUACGUAGGUGGCAAGCGUUGUCCGGAAUUAUUGGGCGUAAAGGGCUCGCAGGCGGUUUCUUAAGUCUGAUGUGAAAGCCCCCGGCUCAACCGGGGAGGGUCAUUGGAAACUGGGGAACUUGAGUGCAGAAGAGGAGAGUGGAAUUCCACGUGUAGCGGUGAAAUGCGUAGAGAUGUGGAGGAACACCAGUGGCGAAGGCGACUCUCUGGUCUGUAACUGACGCUGAGGAGCGAAAGCGUGGGGAGCGAACAGGAUUAGAUACCCUGGUAGUCCACGCCGUAAACGAUGAGUGCUAAGUGUUAGGGGGUUUCCGCCCCUUAGUGCUGCAGCUAACGCAUUAAGCACUCCGCCUGGGGAGUACGGUCGCAAGACUGAAACUCAAAGGAAUUGACGGGGGCCCGCACAAGCGGUGGAGCAUGUGGUUUAAUUCGAAGCAACGCGAAGAACCUUACCAGGUCUUGACAUCCUCUGACAAUCCUAGAGAUAGGACGUCCCCUUCGGGGGCAGAGUGACAGGUGGUGCAUGGUUGUCGUCAGCUCGUGUCGUGAGAUGUUGGGUUAAGUCCCGCAACGAGCGCAACCCUUGAUCUUAGUUGCCAGCAUUCAGUUGGGCACUCUAAGGUGACUGCCGGUGACAAACCGGAGGAAGGUGGGGAUGACGUCAAAUCAUCAUGCCCCUUAUGACCUGGGCUACACACGUGCUACAAUGGACAGAACAAAGGGCAGCGAAACCGCGAGGUUAAGCCAAUCCCACAAAUCUGUUCUCAGUUCGGAUCGCAGUCUGCAACUCGACUGCGUGAAGCUGGAAUCGCUAGUAAUCGCGGAU
Molecule: ribosomal RNA, 832 nt
Filed under: Bacillus sp. PS-233
Lineage: Bacteria; Bacillati; Bacillota; Bacilli; Caryophanales; Bacillaceae
Description: bacterial SSU rRNA
Rfam family: Bacterial small subunit ribosomal RNA
Source: RNAcentral